GACGAACGCUGGCGGCGUGCUUAACACAUGCAAGUCGAACGGAAAGGCCCUGCUUUUGUGGGGUGCUCGAGUGCGAACGGGUGAGUAACACGUGAGUAACCUGCCCUUGACUUUGGGAUAACUUCAGGAAACUGGGGCUAAUACCGGAUAUGAGCUCCUGCUGCAUGGUGGGGGUUGGAAAGUUUCGGCGGUUGGGGAUGGACUCGCGGCUUAUCAGCUUGUUGGUGGGGUAGUGGCUUACCAAGGCUUUGACGGGUAGCCGGCCUGAGAGGGUGACCGGCCACAUUGGGACUGAGAUACGGCCCAGACUCCUACGGGAGGCAGCAGUGGGGAAUAUUGCACAAUGGGCGGAAGCCUGAUGCAGCAACGCCGCGUGCGGGAUGACGGCCUUCGGGUUGUAAACCGCUUUCGCCUGUGACGAAGCGUGAGUGACGGUAAUGGGUAAAGAAGCACCGGCUAACUACGUG
RNAcentral lists this ribosomal RNA (467 nucleotides) under uncultured bacterium. Its description in RNAcentral is "partial 16S ribosomal RNA". It matches the Rfam family "Bacterial small subunit ribosomal RNA", at positions 28 to 507 of the family's 1533-position model. The record is from RNAcentral.